Molecule: ribosomal RNA, 451 nt
Filed under: uncultured bacterium
Lineage: Bacteria
Description: bacterial SSU rRNA
Rfam family: Bacterial small subunit ribosomal RNA
Source: RNAcentral
AGCGGCGGACGGGUGAGUAACGCGUAGGAAUCUACCUAGUAGUGGGGGACAACCCGGGGAAACUCGGGCUAAUACCGCAUACGCUCUUAGGAGGAAAGCGGGGGAUCUUCGGACCUCGCGCUAUUAGAGGAGCCUGCGUCGGAUUAGCUAGUUGGUGAGGUAAAGGCUCACCAAGGCGACGAUCCGUAGCUGGUCUGAGAGGACGACCAGCCACACUGGGACUGAGACACGGCCCAGACUCCUACGGGAGGCAGCAGUAGGGAAUCUUGGACAAUGGGCGCAAGCCUGAUCCAGCCAUGCCGCGUGUGUGAAGAAGGCCUUAGGGUUGUAAAGCACUUUCAGUGGUGAAGAAAAUCUUGGGGUUAAUACCUCCGAGUCUUGACGUUAACCACAGAAGAAGCACCGGCUAACUCCGUGCCAGCAGCCGCGGUAAUACGGAGGGUGCGAACGU